Molecule: transfer RNA, 30 nt
Filed under: Rana luteiventris (Great Basin spotted frog)
Lineage: Eukaryota; Metazoa; Chordata; Amphibia; Anura; Ranidae
Description: partial tRNA-Trp
Source: RNAcentral
AAACUUAGGCUAACACAGACCAAAGGCCUU